UACGUAGGUGGCAAGCGUUGUCCGGAAUUAUUGGGCGUAAAGCGCGCGCAGGCGGUUAUGUAUGUCUGAUGUUAAAGCCCGGGGAUCAACCUCGGUUCGCACUGGAAACUGUGUAACUUGAGUGCAGAAGAGGAAAGUGGUAUUCCCCGUGUAGCGGUGAAAUGCGUAGAUAUGUGGAGAAACACCAGUGGCGAGUGCGACCUUCUGGUCUGUAUCUGACGCUGAGGCGCGAGAGCGUCAGGCACAAGGAAG
This 252-nucleotide ribosomal RNA is filed under the name uncultured bacterium. RNAcentral describes it as "partial 16S ribosomal RNA". It matches the Rfam family "Bacterial small subunit ribosomal RNA", at positions 524 to 776 of the family's 1533-position model. The record is from RNAcentral.